CAACCCUCAAGCCUGGCUUGGUGUUGGGGCACCGCCUGUAAAAGGGCGGGCCCUGAAAUCUAGUGGCGAGCUCGCCAGGACCCCGAGCGUAGUAGUUUAUAUCUCGCUCUGGAAGGCCCUGGCGGUGCCCUGCCGUUAAACCCCCAACUUCUGAAA
RNAcentral lists this unclassified non-coding RNA (156 nucleotides) under uncultured Diaporthe. RNAcentral describes it as "sequence contains ITS2". Lineage: Eukaryota; Fungi; Ascomycota; Sordariomycetes; Diaporthales; Diaporthaceae. The record is from RNAcentral.